This 253-nucleotide ribosomal RNA is filed under the name uncultured bacterium. Its description in RNAcentral is "partial 16S ribosomal RNA". It matches the Rfam family "Bacterial small subunit ribosomal RNA", at positions 524 to 776 of the family's 1533-position model. The record is from RNAcentral.
GACAGAGGGGGCAAGCGUUGUUCGGAAUCACUGGGCGUAAAGCGCACGUAGGCGGAUUGUUAAGUCAGGGGUGAAAUCCUGGAGCUCAACUCCAGAACUGCCUUUGAUACUGGCGAUCUCGAGUCCGGGAGAGGUGAGUGGAACUGCGAGUGUAGAGGUGAAAUUCGUAGAUAUUCGCAAGAACACCGGUGGCGAAGGCGGUUCUCUGGGCCUGGCCUGACGCUGAGGAGCGAAAGCGUGGGGAGCGAACAGG